UGGGAUAUAGCCAAGUGGUAAGGCAUCAGACUUUGACUCUGAUAUGCGGUAGUUCGAAUCUAUCUAUCCCAACCA
This 75-nucleotide transfer RNA is filed under the name Candidatus Onthocola stercoravium. RNAcentral's name for it is "tRNA-Gln". It matches the Rfam family "tRNA". Rfam says of the family: Transfer RNA (tRNA) molecules are approximately 80 nucleotides in length. Their secondary structure includes four short double-helical elements and three loops (D, anti-codon, and T loops). Further hydrogen bonds mediate the characteristic L-shaped molecular structure. tRNAs have two regions of fundamental functional importance: the anti-codon, which is responsible for specific mRNA codon recognition, and the 3' end, to which the tRNAs corresponding amino acid is attached (by aminoacyl-tRNA synthetases). tRNAs cope with the degeneracy of the genetic code in two manners: having more than one tRNA (with a specific anti-codon) for a particular amino acid; and 'wobble' base-pairing, i.e. permitting non-standard base-pairing at the 3rd anti-codon position. The record is from RNAcentral. Lineage: Bacteria; Bacillati; Bacillota; Bacilli.